Long non-coding RNA from Equus caballus (horse), 5024 nucleotides. RefSeq lists it as uncharacterized. Lineage: Eukaryota; Metazoa; Chordata; Mammalia; Perissodactyla; Equidae. The record is from RefSeq and is a predicted model, not a curated record.
GGCCCGAGGCCGGAAGGGGGCCGCCAGGGGCACCGCGAGAGCCGCUGCCGGUGCAGCGCCCUGUACUGCUGCUUCGCGGGGACGCGGUUCGUGGUGCUCGCUACUGUUUGACGGAUGCGAGUCUCUCUCUCGGAUAGGACAAACAAUGCAGAUACCUUAAGAGAAAGAGAAGUUCUGAGGAGCCAAUGAAGAUGCUCGAAAGAGAAAGGGUCCCUGUUAACCAUGUUCCUGGCCCAGAGACUGUGAAGCCACCUAGCCAGGUGCUGUUGGAGUAGAAAAGAAGGCACACCCUGCCCAAGGAGAUCUUAGUCAGAAAAGGAAAGGAAGCUGCCAUUAGCCCAAGUGGGCUGCUGCCUGACGCCCAGAGAGCCAUGGCUUACAGGAGAGAAGGAAGAGGAAAAUGGUACCUGCCACCUGAACAGCAAAGCACACUUGUCUUGGCAAGGACUCCUUUCAGAAAUUUGAUUUGAAGAUGUGAGCAGUGGAGAUCCUCCUCACCAAGCAAGGCUCUUCAUGGCAAGCCUCUGUGGGGAAACUUGGUCACUGUGUUCAAAGGGGUGAAUUAGCUUGGCCUUUUGUUUUAUAAUCUAGAUCUGUGCAGUCUAAUAUGGUAGUCACUGGCCACAGAUGGCUUAAAUUGAAAUUUAAAUGAAUUGAAAUUAAAUCAAAUUUAAAAUUUACUUCCUCAUUUGUAUUAGCUACAUUUUAAGUGUUCAACACCCAUAUGUGGCUAAUGGCUACCAAAUUCAAAAGCACAGCUACAGAACAUUUCCUUUAUUGCGGAAACUUCCAGUAGAUGGUUCUGGUCUAGAUGAUAAACAGUGAUGACAUUUAGUUGCAAUUGUUCUUUUUCUCAUUUGGGGCACCGAGAGGUAGGAUUCCUCUACUCUCCAGUAGAAUUAUUACAAAGCAGAAAUCAUGCAAAUUUCUCCCAACUGCAGCAAGAAAUGUAUGAAUUUUGUGGAAACUUUCAUGUCUGUACUUUCUUCCCUUGUUAUUUGCAUAAAUUACGUCCUGGGGAUAGAGAGCCCUGGACUUGCAGCAGAAUGCUCUAGGAAUAUCAGUGACAGGGUAUCAACCUCACUUUUUUUGCAGAUGGAGGGUUAUCAUGUGAUAAAUGACCAAGAAGUCUCCUGGCCCAGACUGUAGGAUUUUCCAAGGGUCUCCUUCUACAGUAAGACAAAGGUAGCUGCUGGGGCAGGCUAAUAAUUUCACCCCCCUCCCCCAAAGCAAACAAACCCUAACAGUCUAUAGCAGUUCGACUUGCCUCUUUAUGUUGGUUUUCAAUGCCCAAAGGUGACAUUAACCCAGAAGAGGAAAAAGAGGCUUAUUCUCUCAGGAGACUGAAUCAUCUAGACUCAGGAUCAGAUUUCUGCCUCAGGCUCAAACAACAAAAGUUGAGACAAAAGACUCCCUGACCAAACUCACAUAUAACUGGUGAUCAUGGACUAAAGCUUGCAGGUGAUGCAAUAGGAGAGGUUUGGCACAGGCCAAGGGAAAGAGCCUGGCUUUGGGGUUAGAAGACCUGAGUCUGAAUCCUGCAUCCCUAUUUCUGCAUUACCCUGAGCUAGUUAAUGAACCUUUGUGAGCCUCACUUUUUUCAUCUGUGACACAGAUGAAACAACUGGAGAAUAAGAAUCUCUGGUUCUUGGGGUUGUUGUGAGGAUUAAAGGAGAGAAUUGCACAGAUUGUCUAAGCUCAGGGAAUAUUAGCUAAUGUUACUUAUACAGCAUCAGCCCCAGAUUAUAUCAGGAAAGACCAUGCAUCCAACACACUGGCCAGUCACAUGUGUGGUUUUGUUUCCAUUCCCACCUCAAUCCCCGCUCCUAUGGUCAUACCCUCAACAUUGUCAUUUCACCAAUUGCACUCCCCACAAAAAUGGUACAAUUUCAAAUGUCUCACUCCCUCUCCUCCACACAAUACAUACCUCUGAACAUCUGAUUCCCUGUGAUUCUUGAAUAUCACCGAUAGCUGCAAUCCAUUAUUUCACGAGAAAGUAGAAGCAACCAGAAAAGAACUUCCACAAGCUCCUACCACCACAUCUAUCCACCUUCUGGCAUCUGUGCACAUAGAGUCUAUCUUCUCUCCUGCUAUGAUAGGUGAACUGUUUGCGCUUCUAUCUAAUGUCAGUCUCACCACCUCUGCACUGGAUCCAGCCCCUCUUCCCUACUCUAGAACUUCACUCCUACAAUUGCUCUUCUCUCCUGCAUCAUUAAUUUUUUCCCUUUUCACUGGAUCAUUUCCAUUGCAUCAAAUAUACUAUAAUAUUUCCCAUACAUAGAAAUCCUUCCUAGACCCAUGUCCUCCUUCAACUGCUACCUCUUUUCCCUGCUUUCCUAUAUUGUGUCUUUCAGUGGUGUUUUCUCAUCUCCCUGAAUUCUAAAUGUUGGAGUGUCUCAGAACUCCACUCUUCUUUGUCUACACUCACCCCCAGGGGAUCCACAUAGGUCCAUGACUUUAAACACCUUCCAUAUACUGCCAAAUUUAUGUGCCCUGCCUGGAUCUCUCCCCUGAACCAUAGACUCUUAUAUCUAACUGCCUACUCAGUAUCUCCACUGGGUAUCCAAUAGACAUCUUAAGAUGUUCCAAAAUGAAUGAUUGAUUUUCAGCCCCUAACCCCCAAAUCUACUCCUCCCAUAGAUCUCCUUGACUCAAUAAAUGGAACUCCAUUCUUCCAUAAAUGCAUGCUAAAAAUCUUAGUAUUACCUUGAUCCCUCUUUUUCUCUUACAGACCUCAGCUAGUCCAUCAGAGAGCAAAGGGAGAUCAAGAGUCCUGAGAGGCUAUUUCAUUUAGGCCAGAGAAAAGUCCUGACUCACCAAAGAUUACUCCCCUCUAGUGACCAGAAUUAUUACAUAACCUAGGUGUAGUCACCCUUAAUUCAGCAAAUAUAUUCGGAGCAUUUCCAUGUUCUGGGCAAUAUUCUAGGUACUAGGGAUACAGAAAUGGGCAAAAACAGGUAAAAUUUCAUGGAGCUUACUUUCUGCUGGGGUGAGACAGGAAACUUGUCAGAUGGUUAAAGAAAAAUAUUUUGGGGUAAGGGGACAGAAAUUGCAGGAAGGAUGCUGUUUUAGAUAGGGUGGUCAUAAGAGCUUCUGCAAGAGAUGACAGUGAAGCAUAGACAUUUAAGCAUUGAGUCAUGCAGAUAUCUGGGAAUAAAUUAUUCAAGCAGAAGGGGAAUGUGCAGAGGUCCUGAGGCAAAAACAUUCUUGGGGUAUCCCAGGAGCAGAAUGAAAGCGUGUGUAGCUAGAAUGGAGUCAGUGAGGUGGGCAGUGGUAGGAAAUGAGAUCAGAGAGAGAGCUGGGGUGAGAUCAUGUAGGUCUUACUGCCCAAGAAAGGGAUUUGGGAUUUUAUUCUAACAGGUAGGAAGCCAAUAGAGGGUUUUGCGCAGAGGUACGUCUUGAGCUGACAUAUUUUAAAAGGAUCAGCCUGACAGCUUGGUGAAGAGCGGACUGUAGCUAGGAGAGAGUGGAAACUGGGAGACCAGUCAGGGGGCCGAGUCCAUUAAUCUAGGUGCGGGAAGAUGGUGCCUGAAUUAGAUGGUUCCUGUGGAGGUGGCAGGAAGUACUGGAUUUAGAAUUCAUUUUGAAGCUAGGGCUGACAAGUUUUCCUGAGCACAUGGUAGGGGCACAAUUUAUAUUUGUUGAGUGAAUAGAUACCCAGAGUAUUCUGGGGUGAGGCAGGACUUUCCCUGGCCUGGAUGAAAUAUCCCUGUCAUUCACUGCCCCUUUGUUCUCUUUCCAUGCUGACUUGCAGCCAUCUGAUGACUCAUAAUUUGUUCCACGUCCCUUGACUCUAAGGAGGGGUGUCCUGAACAUUGAACACUAGGAUAUUGUCACUAGAAAAUAUCUACAACUCUAACUUAGUAAAUUGGGAUUCUGGGUUAUUGUAAUUCUCUUGCCAUUUUUCCUCUAUCUGACCAUUUCUCUUUAUGCUGAUAAAGUUGAGCUCCAAAUCUGGAAACUUGAGGCCCAAAUUCUGGGCCCAAAUGGUCCUUUCACACUGUUGGCCCAUUCUGGACCAUUAAUUGGACUCCUUUUUGAGAAAUUUUUCUCAUUUUAAUAAUACAUGCUUCCUAUUACUCUUGAAAUUCAUAUUGUAAAAUUUCUAAUAUGUGGAAUUAAUAUAAUUGGGUAGGAACCCAGUUAUCACUGUCAGAAGAUUUAUAGAGUUCCUCUUUACUUCCAAGUCCUUUUCUUCAAUUCCAAGAGCAGCAAGAAUGCUUACCAGGGCCAGGACAAGUGUGAGGCAAGUGAGCUGCCUAGGGUGCAACAUUUAUGGAAGCAUUCACUCUCAGGGCCGUGGAAGUACAGGGUGGGCACCUGAGAAUGACUGCCUCCUGAACUUUGUGCUCUGGCCACCUUGAUUGCUUCACCCUAGUCCUGGCCCUGCUGCCUGCAGGGAAGCAUUUUGGUUUAUUAACCAGGCAACUGUAGCAUCAAGAGCAGGACCAGUUCCCCACUGUUUGGCCAUGACUGUGCAACAGAAAGCUGCUCUCAGAGAAAGCAAAUGGCAUGGAGAGGAGCCAUGUUCUGGGACGCUCUGCCAAUUUAGAAAUUAAAAGCAGUGGGAAAAUGGUGAUGAAAGUUAUGGAGUUUUGUUUAUAAUAAACUCAACAAGCCACUGGCAUUCCAUUUGUUGAGGGCUACCUGGGUCUGGUAAUCAUAUCUAUAGCAUUUCUAUCUUGUUUGCAAUUCCUCAGAUAUAGCUUUUAAAAAACAUUUGUUCUCCUCCAUAUGCCUUCUUUUUAUAUAUUACAAAAAUUAACAGAACAGAUAAUGGCUGCAGUGUAAAUGCUUUGGACAAUCAGGUAAGAGCUUAUUUUUAAGGUUGGAUUAACAAUUUCCAUUUUAACAAUGCGCUCAAAUUGACUGAGUGAUUCUAAAUUAGCUCUUUAGUUCUUACCCUUAACCACUGAUAAAUGCCACUAUUAAUUUCAGUUAUUUAAAGGCAACAUUAAUAUGUGUGAAACAAGAACAGCGAUAAAGACAGAAAGGAAUAAAUUACUUGCUGCAAGACAGAAUGA